RNAcentral lists this ribosomal RNA (253 nucleotides) under uncultured bacterium. RNAcentral describes it as "partial 16S ribosomal RNA". It matches the Rfam family "Bacterial small subunit ribosomal RNA", at positions 524 to 776 of the family's 1533-position model. The record is from RNAcentral.
UACGAAGGGUGCAAGCGUUACUCGGCCUUACUGGGCGUAAAGCGUGCGUAGGCGGUGCGUUAAGUCUGAUGUGACAUCCCCGGGCUCAACCUGGGAAUGGCAUUGGAUACUGGCUCGCUAGAGUACGGUAGAGGGUGGUGGAAUUCCCGGUGUAGCAGUGAAAUGCGUAGAGAUCGGGAGGAACAUCGGUGGCGAAGGCGGCCACCUGGACCAGUACUGACGCUGAGGCACGAAAGCGUGGGGAGCAAACAGG